GAUGAACGCUAGCGGCAGGCUUAACACAUGCAAGUCGAGGGGUAUAGGGAGCUUGCUUCCUAGAGACCGGCGCACGGGUGCGUAACGCGUAUGCAAUCUACCUUUUGCAGAGGGAUAGCCCAGAGAAAUUUGGAUUAAUACCUCAUAGUAUAGUACUUUGGCAUCAAGGAACUAUUAAAGUCACAACGGCAAAAGAUGAGCAUGCGUCCCAUUAGCUAGUUGGUAAGGUAACGGCUUACCAAGGCUACGAUGGGUAGGGGUCCUGAGAGGGAGAUCCCCCACACUGGUACUGAGACACGGACCAGACUCCUACGGGAGGCAGCAGUGAGGAAUAUUGGACAAUGGGCGCAAGCCUGAUCCAGCCAUGCCGCGUGCAGGAUGACGGUCCUAUGGAUUGUAAACUGCUUUUGUACAGGAAGAAACACUGGUUCGUGAACCGGCUUGACGGUACUGUAAGAAUAAGGAUCGGCUAACUCCGUGCCAGCACG
Molecule: ribosomal RNA, 488 nt
Filed under: uncultured bacterium
Lineage: Bacteria
Description: bacterial SSU rRNA
Rfam family: Bacterial small subunit ribosomal RNA
Source: RNAcentral